UACGGAGGAUCCAAGCGUUAUCCGGAUUUAUUGGGUUUAAAGGGUGCGUAGGCGGUCCUAUAAGUCAGUGGUGAAAGACGGCAGCUUAACUGUCGCAGUGCCUUUGAUACUGUAGGACUUGAAUCUAUUUGAAGUGGGCGGAAUAAGACAAGUAGCGGUGAAAUGCAUAGAUAUGUCUUAGAACUCCGAUUGCGAAGGCAGCUCACUAAGUUAGUAUUGACGCUGAUGCACGAAAGCGUGGGGAUCAAACAGGAUUAGAUACCCUUUAGUCC
This 272-nucleotide ribosomal RNA is filed under the name uncultured prokaryote. RNAcentral describes it as "partial 16S ribosomal RNA". It matches the Rfam family "Bacterial small subunit ribosomal RNA", at positions 524 to 796 of the family's 1533-position model. The record is from RNAcentral.